Molecule: ribosomal RNA, 253 nt
Filed under: uncultured bacterium
Lineage: Bacteria
Description: partial 16S ribosomal RNA
Rfam family: Bacterial small subunit ribosomal RNA
Source: RNAcentral
UACGUAGGGUGCGAGCGUUAAUCGGAAUUACUGGGCGUAAAGCGUGCGCAGGCGGUUGGUUAAGUCGGAUGUGAAAUCUCCGAGCUCAACUCGGAAAUGGCAUUGGAAACUACCCUGCUAGAGGGUCGGAGGGGGGACUGGAAUACUUGGUGUAGCAGUGAAAUGCGUAGAUAUCGAGAGGAACACCAGUGGCGAAGGCGAGUCCCUGGACAGAUCCUGACGCUGAGGCACGAAAGCUAGGGGAGCAAACAGG